RNAcentral lists this non-coding RNA (130 nucleotides) under Gossypium hirsutum (cotton). RNAcentral describes it as "Bacterial small subunit ribosomal RNA". It matches the Rfam family "Bacterial small subunit ribosomal RNA", at positions 1389 to 1520 of the family's 1533-position model. Lineage: Eukaryota; Viridiplantae; Streptophyta; Magnoliopsida; Malvales; Malvaceae. RNAcentral also lists the same sequence under 1 other name. The record is from Rfam by way of RNAcentral.
AGUGCCUGUCACACUAUGGGCUGGCCAUGCCCGAAGUUGUUUCCUUAACCACAAGGACAGGGAUGUAGAAGGUAGGGCUAGUGACUGGAGUGAAGUCAUACCAAGGUAGCCAUACUAGAAGGUGCGGCUG